AUUCUAGAUUUUAUUUGUAAAGAUUAGAUGCAACUACUUUUCAUACAAUGUAUCAUAUAUACAAUCUUAGGAUUUUGAGAAAAGUAAAGUUUUAUUUCACAUUCAUUUUCAUGGGAUAUAGUCACAAUAGCACCUCUACACAUCAUAAGAGGACCCAAUUGAAUGAAAAAAAGAGAAAUCUAAUCUCUAUUAUGUCCUA
This 199-nucleotide long non-coding RNA is filed under the name Elaeis guineensis (African oil palm). Its description in RNAcentral is "long non-coding RNA (EGUI_LNC073771)". Lineage: Eukaryota; Viridiplantae; Streptophyta; Magnoliopsida; Arecales; Arecaceae. The record is from RNAcentral.